CUAACCUGAAGCUCAUUAAUCUGGUUGUUCAUAGAUUGAAGAGUGGUGUAGGUGGGGGCAUCAUACGAAUUGGAUCGAGGAGUGAUGAAUGCAUUAAGCUCUGAGUGUUCAUCUAUUGAAGAGUAUUUCUCAAGUGGAGGUGGUAACGCCACGUGUCGUCUUGCCAUUGGACCCUGAUUAUUAUUAUUAUUUCCUGCUAUUCGAGGGUAAAGCGCUGCUGGUUGUCGCAUAACAACAAUAUUGUUAACAGGACCUGCCACCACAACAAAGAAAUAUAAAAAAAAAAUUUGUAAUUAAAAGAAAAGUAACUAAAAUAUUAUUUUUUUUUUUUAAAAAAAAAAACGUUACCUUUCGCAUGUUUAAAAACACGAAUGAUAUUACGAGUUUUAGUGUCCCAAACACGAACCAUUCCAUCCUCUGAUCCAACAACCAAUUGAAAUCCAUCCAAUGCAAAACCCAAAGAGCAUAUCGCCUUACUGUUUUUUACAAAUACAAUAAAAAAACAAUGGAAUUAGAUUAUUAAUUUAAAAAUAUUAUAUUGUGAAAAAGUUUGGGUUUCGCAUACCUUUGAAUAGACAAUGCGCCAAUGAUAUGCAAACCAUAGUUGUUGUUGUUAUUGUUAUUGUUGGAUGUGGUUUGAGCAUUGAGUUCUGCAAUGUUAUUUUCCCAUCUCUUCCACCAGCAUAAAAAACAUGUUCCCCUGGGUCUAAUGCAAUUGCAUCAAUUAUUGAAGGAAACACAAUAUUUCUCAAUAAUGUCCCUCUAGCUAGGCUCCAUACCUGUAAUUUAAACAAAUUUCAUGAGGACAUUCACGUCUUUUUCCGAAUAUUUAUGCAAUAUGUGCCUUGCAAGUACGAUCUAGAGAAGCAGAUAAGCUAAUUGCAUUGGAUCCUCCAUAGCCUGUAACAAUGUCUGUUACAGGUAAAGCAUGACCAGUGAAACUAUACUCAUACAGAUGUCCUGCUCUCUGUUGUCCUUCCUCAUCAAAUAUCCUAAUCACAAGAUGUAGAAAAUGUAUUAUUGUAAUAAACCCUAAAAUUGCAAAUCAUGAAUGUAAAAGGGUAAAUGAGUAAUUAUACAUACAUCAGAAGUGACCAGACUCGAACAGUUCCAUCCUCGGAUCCAGAAAUCAAAAGUGAUUGAUCAUUAGAAAAGACCAAGCAAGUAACAGGCCUAUAAUGGCCAUGCCAUUUCUUCAAUAAUCUACCUGUUGCAACCUAUGAUAAAAGAUCAGUUUCUUACAAUAAAGUGUAUACAGUAAAUCAAAAUAAUAGAGUUAUCAAUAUAAUUUGAAGAGUGAUUUAGAUAAAAGGAGAGAAAUCGCUAAAAGAGGAUUGAUUGCUUCAGCUAUUGACAUCUCAUUACUCACCUCCCACAAGUAAAUAUGACCAGAAACACCUCCUCCUACUAUGUAAGUGCCAUCACUAUUGCAAGCAAGAGGAUUGAUUGCUUCAGCUGGAAAACUCUUAACUUCUACCUGAGGCUUUCUUGAGAGUUUCUCAAACCAAGCACGAGGGGCUUUCUUGAGCCCAUACAAAGCUUUGCGAAGCCGACAAACCUCCCCCGGUCGGUGCUGAAUUCCUGGAGGAGGGGUCAUAUAAACCUAUUAAUGAAGGUUACCAUUCAAAAAGGCAUUCUCAUUAGACAAUGGUAUUUUCAGCUUUGGAACAUAGGCGUACUUGAGAUGCUCGGGUAAAGUUUUAAGCUCCAAUUCCGGUGCCUACACAAUAGAAGGAACAAGUUUCUCAUUAGAUAUUGGUAUUUUCAGCUUUGGAACAUCAAACCUCAUUUUCUUCUUCUCAUCCAUGCAAGACACAACCUCCAUAAUCUCUUUAUCAAUUGUAAAUUGAUUGGCAAGUUUUUCCACUCUUUCCUUUUGAAGAUUCCUGUCUAAAAUGAGAGCUAACACAUCAAGAUUAGACAACUCAAAACACUCCUCUGUCAAUGGUUCAAUGACAUCCAAAAAAUUCAAAGAUGAAAUAUCACUUGGAUAUCUCAUAGCAUCAUAAAUAUUGAAAUUUAUCACCUCCCCAUCAAAUUCCAUGGACAAUGUACCAUCAUAAACAUCAAUUUUUGUCCUGGCUGUUUUCAAAAAGGGUCUUCCUAGGAGAAUUGAACUCAAAUUUGGUGAGUCAUCAUCAUCCAUGUCAAGGACAUAAAAAUCUGCUGGAAACACUAAUUCAUUCACUUGGACUAACAAAUCUUCUAGCACACCUUUGGGAUGUACUAAAGAUCUAUCAGCCAAUUGAAUGAUUACCCCGGUCUUCUUCAAUGUGCAUUUAAAGUUUUAAAAAUAGAAUAUGGCAAAACAUUGAUAGAAGCUCCAAGGUCUAGCAUAGCUCGUGGAACAUGAAGAUUACCUAAUUUGCAAGGAACCAUGAAAACACCCGGAUCCUUAAAUUUUUGAGGUAGUCUUUUUUGUAACACUGUAGACACAUUUUCUCUUACUUUAACAAUUUCAUUCCCUUUCAACUUUUUCUUGGAUGUACAUAAUUCCUUAAGAAAUUUAGCAUACCUAGGGACUUGUUUGAUGACAUCAAUAAGAUGAAUAUUUACCUCAACCUUCCUGAACAUCUCCAUGAUUUCAUUGUCUUCCCUUUCACGCUUUGACUUGCUUAAUCUUGAGGGAAAUGGAGGAGGAGUGAGUUUUGCUUCAAUAGGAACUUGCUUGGAAGGUGUUUUUGACUUCUCUUCUUCUUUCUCUAACUCUAUCUUUUCUUCUUCUUCAACCAUCUUAGGACUUUCAUAUUCUUUUCCAUUCCUCAAAGUGAUGGCACAUGCACUAUGUUUUGGAUUCUUUUCGGUUUGCGCGGGUAGUUUGCCUUGUGACUCCAAUUUACUCACAGAAGUGGCAAGUUGAGUCAUUUGUUGCUCCAAAGUCUUGAUGCUCGCCUUGGUCUCAUUUUGAAAUGUUUGAGUACUUGUGGCUAAACUCUUAACAAUGUCUUCCAAAGACAUUCCUGAUCCGCUUAAACUACUUCCUUGAUGCAUGUUUUGAGGUUGGAAUUGAGAUUGAUGAGGGGGUUGAGUUGGCUGGAAAUGUAGUUGAUAACUUUGUUGGUGAUGCGUUUGAUUUUGAAAUGGGUGUCUUGGUUGAUAAGGUGGUGUUCUUGGCUGAAAAUUGGCAUUAGGUUGAUGCCAAUUUGGAUUGCUUCUUGGCUGGAAGUUUCCUUGUUGUUGACUUGAAAAUCCCAUAGCUUGAAUUGGCUCUACAUCUUCUUGUAAGAUUGGGCACAUAUCAGUGGGAUGUCCAACUUGUGUACAAAUACCACAAGGUCUAACUGUUGGUGGUUGCACACCCUUGUCCUUUGCAAGCAUCAUCACAACUUUAGUCAACUCAGAAAGUUGACUUUCAAUUUUUGGGGUAGAAAUUUCUUUCACUCCUCUUGGUGCAUCACUGUACCAUUCUUCUUCUUGGACUGUAUGCUUGGACUCUUCUGCCUUGUUCUUGAUAAGAACUCUGAUUUCUGUUGGAUUCUUAUCAGCUAUAGAUCCACCACUUGAUGCAUUGAGUAAUCUCAUAUCCCAAGAUGACAUUCCUUNCCUUCACAAAAAUACUGCAGCAACUGAUAUUCUGUAAUCCCAUGUUGUGGACAUCUUGAGCACAAUUUCUUGAACCGUUCCCAAUAAGUAUGCAAUGCUUCUCUCUUUUGUUGCUUGAUGCCAAUUAUCUCUCUACGUAAAGCUGAAGCUCUCAUUUCGGGAAAAUAUUUAUCCAGAAACAUCCUUGCAAGUUCAUUCCAUGUUGUGACUGACCCCGGUGGUAAGUCAUACAACCACUCCUUGGCUGAAUCUUGUAAAGCAAAGGGAAAUGCCCUUAACUUGAUUUGAUCUUCUGUGACUUCAUGUGGCUUCAUACCCACACAAACAACAUGAAAUUCCUUAAGGAAUUUAUGUGGGUCUUCAUUCUCAAGACCACGGAAUGAGGGUAACAAAUGGAUGAGUCCAGACUUGAGUUCAAAGUUGAUUGCUGCAGGGUAAUUUAUGCACAAAGGUUGUUAGGUGACAUCUUGAGUGGCCCAUUGUCUAAAGGUUUGUUUAGGUGGUGGAUGUGGAGGAUUUUGGCCAUGGUUGUCUCCCAUGGUAGGAGUAGAUAUAAAGGUUUCAGAUUCGGGUAAAGGUGCAGAAAGGGUUGAUGGAUUUGAUGAAGAAGCUCCGGAUUGUUGUUGUUUCUUUAAAAGUCCGGCUUGCUUCCUUCUUUGUUUAGCAGAUUUAUCUAUCUCCAAAUCAACUGGUAAAGGUGUACCUGUGCGAAAAGAUCUUGGCAUAAACAAUUAGUACUACCGUAUCCCCGACAACGGAGCCAAUUUGUUUGGCUGUCAAACCAACAAAUAAUGGGAUAAAAUAUAUUAAUAAANCUCAAAUCACUGUUAUUUCUUAUACUAAAGAUAGUAUAGAGUAAGCAGGGUCGGUCCACAGGAAUAUAGGACUUCUUAUCUUGCCAUAUUUUCACACAUAAUACAAAUAAUAUUAAAAUGGGGGAUUGUAUUUGAACUCGAAUUAAACUUCAUAAAUAAGCAAGAUUGAUAACAAAACGCAGUAAAAGAAGUACAUUUCCUAUUCUGAUUCCUAUACAUGUAUUAUGUUGUAGGAUGUAAUAUGACUAUGAUUCAUGUUUAAUCUAGGUUGGUAAUUUAGAUAUUAACAAGCUCUAAUACCCAAGUUGACAAAAAUGUUUUAUUCAAAACAUGUUCUUCAAAUAAAACUUCAUUUAAUUGAUUUAAUUCAAAUAAGCUCUUUCAUCAAAUCAUUAAAUGACUUUAAGUUCUUACAAUAAUUACCAACAAUAUUCAAUAUUCCUCAUAAACUUGGGAUUAUGAACAUUUAAUCUUUGAUUACACUCAUUUUGAUUUAAUUACAAUCAAUUAAGUGCAUGUUACUAACAUCAAAUCAUAAAACAUAUACGAAUUUUACAAUUUGAUUAACUAGAUUGAUAAAAACCCUAAUUCAUUGAUCAAGUGAAAAUGAGAAUAAAUAAAACACAUGAUUAAGAUCAAAUCAAAGAUUACUAGAUGUUAAACUCAAAUCAAGUUCAAGUUACAACCUAACAACACAUACUUAAGAAUUCAGAUUCGGAAAUGAUAAUGAAAUCAACCACACAUGUCUAGGUUAAUAUACAAAUCAAACAAGUUUAAACUUCAAAUUGACUUACAAAAAGGAAAUUAAAGUGUUUCCAAGUGUUAAUCUACUUCCAAAAGUUCUGAAAAUCGCCUUCUCUCUGCCCAAAAUCCGACUUAACUUCCAACUAAACUGAUUGUCUGAAUUAUAAGAGAAUAAAACUACUUUUAAAACUGUCGAGACGUUUACACGGCCCGUGUAAACUAAUGGGUGCCAUUUACACGACCGUGUAAACUAGAAAAGUAGAAUGCUCAAUCCGUCCAGGCCUGCGAAGUAGAAUGCUCCUGUAUAUGCGUUUACACGGACCAUGUAAACUAUAAGCUAUCAUUUACAUGGCCGUGUAAACUCCUGUGAAGCCAAAUUCUUUAUUUCUUCAUUCUCUCUCUCUCUCUCUCUCUCUCUCUCUCUCUCUCUUUAAUGCUCCAAAACUUCUGAAACUUUAUCUCCAACUCUUUUUAACUUCCUCCAUCAAAAUCUAACCUUCAAAAGUCCCUGAAAUAUCAUAAAAGUGUGUGAAUGAAAUUGUAUCAUGAAAAAUCUCAAAAAAAUAUGCACAAUGCAUGAGUUUAAACCUAAAUGCAAUGCACUUUUAUGAACUAAAACUACAAAAUGAAUGCAUGAAAUGCACCUAACAAUAUCAAACCUCUGCUCUGAUACCAUGAUUACAUUGUCAUAUGACUAUAACAAAGAGAAAUUACAAGGGUUCUCAGAGAAAAACAUAAGGACUACAAUGAAUAAAGCGAAUAUAAAUAAAGCGAAUAUAAAUUACUAGCUAGACAGAAACUCUAAUGGGCUAAAGACAAAAUGACCCAUAAACAAGUGGGCUAAUAAUAUACAGACUAACAAUGUGCACAAGGAAAAAGUUAGAAAAUAUAAAGUCUAACAUAUCUUCUCAUACAUGUGUUGGUCAAAACGUAGUGUGCGUUGUUGACGAGGAUGACUUCGUGGGUGAUUUCCUAAUAGAAACAUAGUACCCCUCAACUUCAACGGAAACAUAGUUGACGUGAUUAAGUCGUUAAUACUUAUUGUCGAUAACUCCAUAUAAUAAGGAGUUUGAUAUUCUACUUUGGUGGAAACACAAGGCAUCUCGUUACCCGAUUGUAUCUCACAUGACAAAGAGUGUAAAUUUAAUUAUUUAUAUACUUUUUAUAGUAUUUAUUAUAUUUAAAAAUUUGUACGGUAAUGUUGGUAGCUGUUUUAGGAAUUCAAAUUUCUAUUUUGACGUCUAAUGCAACUUCUAGUACAAACAAUCUUAUAUUAGAUGUGUACCAAACAAAAUUGUCCACAACCAUAAUAAAGGCUUUGGUUUGCACUUAACAUUAGGUAAAAAAAUCAAUAAAACCAACUGUGGACAAUAAAAAAAAAUCAAUAAAACCAACAUAGAAUAAGUUCUAAACGAUGAUUAUGUCGCCAAAGGUAACAAUUUCUUGUUAUUACUUAAUUAACAAACCUUUGAUUAUGUACUAACUUCUUUGUUUUAUUUCUGGUUUACAUUAUGGUUAGAAGACACGAUAUAUAAUCGAGGUAAAAAUAGGAAAGAGACAAUAGAAUUUACCUAGUAAUUAGUUGGUAUAUGAUUUAUUGGCUAAUGGUUAUUGUUUGUAUGUGAUAUUAUUGUUGACCAUGUAAAUGUUUGGUUGAUAUCAAAUCAUACGGAUAUGAUUAAUGUCUAAUUGGUAUUUCAACUUUGAAAUUAGAAUGUUUGCCCAUGUUAUGUUUAUAUGUACUUGGAAAUUAUGAUCAAAACUCUAAAAACAUCUACCCACUUGGAAGGCAUGCAUGUUAAACUAGUACCCAUAAAUAUAUACAAAUUUUUGUAUUUUUCACUUGGAAAAUCAUGUGUGUGGUCAAACUGAACUUCCAAUCAUACCAACACAUUUACCUUUCUUACCGAUAAUGGCAAACAUAUAACCUAAAACUUGUCAAAUAAAUACAACUUUUAUGUUAUACAUUGCCAUUAUCAAAAAAAAUGCAAGUGCCUUGUUAUUGGUAUACUUAUUACAAUUAUCCAUAAAAAUGUAACUAUGUUGUUAUGGGUUUACAUAUUACUAUUAGCGUGAAAAAUGUAAGUAUGUUGCUACUAUGAAUUAAAAUCAAAUAUCGUAGUCUAAAUUUACGAAAAAAAAAAAAACAAACCUACUAAAUUUGGAACUAGGGUCGAUACUCUCAAAUAUAUAAAAUUCAACACAACAAAAUUUUGAAUAACAUGAUAAAUAUAAUAUGGGUAAGAAGGUAUUGAAUCAUAAAGUAGAACUUGAAAAUUUUUAGAGCAUCAAGUUGGUUUCAUCGGCUUCUCCAUUUAAGAGCUCACCAACACAAAAUUGAUUCAAAUUUUGAUACAUUUUCUUCCAUUGUUGGACCAUUUGCAUGGAUCUUUUGCAGUCUAGUUUUAGUCUUUCCAGUUCCAUUUCAGAAGCUCCAGAAGAACCAUGUUGCUGACAAAAUUUAUGAAAUGAUUAAAACGUAAGAAACACUAUUCUUUAUAUGAUAAUUAUUAUAAUAUUAAAUUUAAAUUUAGAAGAUAAAAAUAACUGACACUAACCUGAAGCUCAUUAAUCUGGUUGUUCAUAGAUUGAAGAGUGGUGUAGGUGGGGGCAUCAUACGAAUUGGAUCGAGGAGUGAUGAAUGCAUUAAGCUCUGAGUGUUCAUCUAUUGAAGAGUAUUUCUCAAGUGGAGGUGGUAACGCCACGUGUCGUCUUGCCAUUGGACCCUGAUUAUUAUUAUUAUUUCCUGCUGUUCGAGGGUAAAGCGCUGCUGGUUGUCGCAUAACAACAAUAUUGUUAACAGGACCUGCC
Molecule: long non-coding RNA, 7913 nt
Filed under: Lactuca sativa (garden lettuce)
Lineage: Eukaryota; Viridiplantae; Streptophyta; Magnoliopsida; Asterales; Asteraceae
Description: long non-coding RNA (LSAT_LNC006928)
Source: RNAcentral